Molecule: long non-coding RNA, 631 nt
Filed under: Heterocephalus glaber (naked mole-rat)
Lineage: Eukaryota; Metazoa; Chordata; Mammalia; Rodentia; Bathyergidae
Description: lncRNA (ENSHGLG00000043034.1)
Source: RNAcentral
ACCCAAGUAUAAAUAAAUUAAAGACCAAAGUAAAAGAUAGGAAGGGCUGGGGAUUUAGCUCAGUGGCUCUGUGCCUGCCUCGCAAGUGCAAGGUCCUGAGUUUAAUAGGAAAUACAAGAGGCUGACCUUGAACUCCUGGCGAUCCUCCAGCCUCAGCCUCCCAAGUCCUCGGAUCACAGAUACAAAUAAAAAGGGGAAAUCUUCCAGAUUUCCAGUUUUGCAAGGAUCGACACUAGAAAUCGACUGAAAGUUAUUUUUAAUUCACUCACAAGCACUUACCCCAGAUAUGUUUUGAUUCUGUAAACUGAAAGUGAACUUGCACCAAAAUAAAAUCAGCAGAGAAACGCAUUCUGUGUACUCAAUCUGAUUCGGCUCCACGGACAUCUACAGAGCGCAAAACAGGUGAGAAAUGGGGGAAGCUGGGUGCAGUGGUGCAGGCAUGUGAUCCUAGCACUUGGGAGGCUGAGGCAGGAGGAUUACAAAUUUGAGUCCUGCCUGCAUGACACUGUCUCAAAGUAAAAAGGAAUUGAAAGGGCUGGGAUGGAGCUCAGUGCAAAGGUCCUGGGGUCAGUCCGCAGUACUGGGACAAACACACCCAAACGUGUCGGGGGCGGGGUGUCUCCUAGCUAAG